GACGGAGGGGGCUAGCGUUGUUCGGAAUUACUGGGCGUAAAGGGCGCGUAGGCGGAUUAGUAAGUUGGGAGUGAAAGCCCGGGGCUUAACCUCGGAACUGCUUUCAAAACUGCUAGUCUUGAGUGAAGUAGGGGAUGAUGGAAUUCCUAGUGUAGAGGUGAAAUUCUUAGAUAUUAGGAGGAACACCGGUGGCGAAGGCGGUCAUCUGGACUUCAACUGACGCUGAGGCGCGAAAGCGUGGGGAGCAAACAGGAUUAGAUACCCUGGUAGUCCACGCCGUAAACGAUGAGUGCUAGAUAUCGGGAGUUUUUCUUUCGGUUUCGUAGUUAACACGUUAAGCACUCCGCCCGGGGAGUACGAUCGCAAGAUUAAAACUCAAAGGAAUUGACGGGGGCUCGCACAAGUGGUGGAGCAUGCGGUUUAAUUCGAUGCUACGCGAAAAACCUUACCAACCCUUGACAUGGUGAUCGUAGGUUACAGAAAUGUAACCGUCAGUUCGGCUGGAUCACACACAGGUGUUGCAUGGCGGUCGUCAGCUCGUGUCGUGAGAUGUUGGGUUAAGUCCCGCAACGAGCGCAACCCUCAUCCUUAUUUGCCAGCGGUUAGGCCGGGAACUAUAAGGAAACUGCCGGUGAUAAGUCGGAGGAAGGUGGGGAUGAUGUCAAGUCAUCAUGGCCCUUACGGGUUGGGCUACACGCGUGCUACAAUGGUACUUACAGAGGGAAGCAAGACGGCAACGUGGAGCAAAUCCCUAAAAAGUAUCUCAGUUCGGAUUGUUCUCUGCAACUCGAGAGCAUGAAGUCGGAAUCACUAGUAAUCGCGGAUCAGCAUGCCGCGGUGAAUACGUUCUCGGGCCU
This 857-nucleotide ribosomal RNA is filed under the name uncultured bacterium. RNAcentral's name for it is "bacterial SSU rRNA". It matches the Rfam family "Bacterial small subunit ribosomal RNA", at positions 524 to 1381 of the family's 1533-position model. The record is from RNAcentral.